UACGUAGGCAGCGAGCGUUGUUCGGAAUUACUGGGCGUAAAGAGUGUGUAGGCGGUGCUCUAAGUUCGGUGUGAAAUCUCCUGGCUUAACUGGGAGGGUGCGCCGGAAACUGGAGUGCUCGAACGUGGGAGAGGAAAGCGGAAUUCCUGGUGUAGCGGUGAAAUGCGUAGAUAUCGGGAGGAACACCUGUGGCGAAAGCGGCGCACUGGACCACAACUGACGCUGAGGCGCGAAAGCUAGGGGAGCAAACAGG
This 253-nucleotide ribosomal RNA is filed under the name uncultured bacterium. RNAcentral describes it as "partial 16S ribosomal RNA". It matches the Rfam family "Bacterial small subunit ribosomal RNA", at positions 524 to 776 of the family's 1533-position model. The record is from RNAcentral.